RNAcentral lists this long non-coding RNA (695 nucleotides) under Sorghum bicolor (sorghum). RNAcentral's name for it is "long non-coding RNA (SBIC_LNC006567)". Lineage: Eukaryota; Viridiplantae; Streptophyta; Magnoliopsida; Poales; Poaceae. The record is from RNAcentral.
GUGUAUAACUAUCUUCUUUCUCCACACCUGACUCGGUGCUACGGUCUCCUCAGGACAGUUCUGUUCAAGUUGUAUGUCUUCAAACCUUACUACUUCUCCUUCGUAGUCUGCCCAUCCGUCCUUGAUGAUUUGCCUCCUCUGGUUGCAGUUGCGUCGUCUUCUUCUUGUCCUGACCUGCUUAGAGUCUUCAACUAUAUAGUUAGGGUCAAUAAAAUAACGGCGUACCUUCUCAGAUGGAAAGUGCAUGUGGACUUCUCCGGUUCCAAUGUAGAUGAUUGCUUUAACGGUGCUGAGGAACGGUCUUCCAAGGAUGAUGGGUGGAUUGAACUCGUCUUCUCCCAUGUCAAUAACCUUCAACCUUUUGGAAUGUCUGAUCUGCCAUCUGGAGCUGAAUGUAUGUCGGUUUUUAGGGGCAUGGUUCCAAACAGGAGCUGAUAGGUGACUGCGGCCAUUAUGUUGACGCCUAACCUGAUGUCGCAAAGCGUCUUCUGGAAGUUGUAUCUAUUAAUGGAGCACUGGAUGCUUGGCAUACCUGGGUCGUCCUUUUUGGUCAGGAACGGUGACUUUAGUCGACGAUCUUGACCUCCUUGAACUGCAGUGACCAUCUUAGCUGACUCGGUCCACAUUUGCUUGUUCUUGUUCCUCCUGUUGGUCCUCUUCCUUGGUUCAUGUCGGAAAUGCUCUGAGAUUCGUGU